AGGCUGCGCCCUGCUUAAUGCCUGAUGAUCUGAGGUGGGAGAGUUUCAUUCCGAAACCAUCCGUGGUUCUCUGGCAAAGUUGGACAUCCCAAAGAUGGCAUAGAUAAACAUGACCAGGAAGAGCAGGAGGCCGAUGUUAAACAACGCAGGAAGGGACAUCAUCAAAGCAAAGAGCAGCGUGCGGAUCCCCUUUGCUCCUUUGAUCAGACGUAGGAUUCGGCCAAUCCUGGCAAGACGGAUCACUCGGAACAAGCACGCGGAACACAAUCAGGAAGGAGUGGAAGAAGUCGUUCAUGUGCCACCGUGGGAGCGUACAGUCAUCAUUGAUCUUGCAGACACAUUC
This 343-nucleotide long non-coding RNA is filed under the name Homo sapiens (human). RNAcentral describes it as "HSALNT0306926". The record is from RNAcentral. Lineage: Eukaryota; Metazoa; Chordata; Mammalia; Primates; Hominidae.